GCAGGCGGCCGGAUGAUCGCUGCCGGGCCAUGCGCAAGCGUGGUCCGGGGGAGGAAAGUCCGAACUCCGCAGGGCAGUGUGCCGGAUAACGUCCGGGACGGAGGUUUCAAGACCUCUGGACGGCCAGUGCAACAGAAAACAUACCGCCUCUGGCGCAAGCCAGCGGUAAGGGUGAAAAGGUGCGGUAAGAGCGCACCGCACGUCUGGUAACAGACGCGGCAUGGUAAACCCCACACGGAGCAAGACCAAAUAGGCAGGGAUUUCGCCGCUCCUCUGCAGGCGGCGAUGGCGUAUCGGCCCGGUGCGCCCAGGCGCAGAGAUUUCGCGAGCGAAAGCUCAAGGAAAGCCGAAACCUGCGGGUAGGUUGCUGGAGCGGCGCAGUAAUGCGUCGCCUAGAGGAAUGAUCAUCUAAAACAGAAUUCGGCUUAUGGGCCGUCUGCAAAA
This 444-nucleotide RNase P RNA is filed under the name Edaphobacter sp. 12200R-103. RNAcentral's name for it is "RNase P RNA component class A". It matches the Rfam family "Bacterial RNase P class A". Rfam says of the family: Ribonuclease P (RNase P) is a ubiquitous endoribonuclease, found in archaea, bacteria and eukarya as well as chloroplasts and mitochondria. Its best characterised activity is the generation of mature 5'-ends of tRNAs by cleaving the 5'-leader elements of precursor-tRNAs. Lineage: Bacteria; Pseudomonadati; Acidobacteriota; Terriglobia; Terriglobales; Acidobacteriaceae. The record is from RNAcentral.